GAAAAUUAUCAGAAACAUGCUUCACAGUAUUUCCUCUGGAUGGCAGAGUAACUGGUUUGUUCUUUUUUUCUUGCAUAAAGCAGCUGCUCUGCUGUAACACUCAGUGUUACCAGUAGAUGGCAGCAGAUUUAUACUGAGUGUGACACUGAGGCUGUGUCCGAAUUCAGGGGAAGGAUGCUUAAAAUGCCAUAUUUGGAGGCAAUGACGUCACAGCGACGCGACGAGGACUGUCCGAAUUCAAAGAGCACUCAAAAUGUGGCGACAAAUGCGUCCUACUUUGCCCUGAAUUCUAAGGAUGGUCCGAUGUAUCCUUCAUGUCCUACUAUAUCCCAGGAUUCAUUGCGGGUCAUAGAGGAGAUUUGUUUCUGAUAACGAUGGUGGUCGAAGCAGGAGAGGAAAACACUUUCAUAUGACAAUUCUGGAGAAGAUGGGCCUGCAGGGGAAAGUCACCCCCUUGUAGGCCAGAAGACAUGAGAUAACUUUAAAGAAUACAAAGAUUGCAAGUAUCCAGGCUCAGGAGAGGGGGUCAGUGGGAAGCCCACUGCUGCUACUUGGCCCUGGUUUGCCCUCAUGGAUAAGGUGAUAGGACAGAUGCCUUCCAUUAAGCCUCCUGUCCUAAUUUCCUCUCUCUCUGAGGACACUCCAGGGCCAAGCGCAGCAGUGGGUCACCAAAACGACAGCGAUGACGAAGCGGCUCAGCCACCUACGACAGGGAGAA
Molecule: long non-coding RNA, 718 nt
Organism: Oreochromis aureus
Lineage: Eukaryota; Metazoa; Chordata; Actinopteri; Cichliformes; Cichlidae
Source: Ensembl